UACGGGGGGAGCAAGCGUUGUUCGGAUUUACUGGGCGUAAAGGGCGCGUAGGCGGUCGUGACAAGUCACUUGUGAAAUCUCCGGGCUUAACUCGGAACGGUCAAGUGAUACUGUCGGACUAGAGUACAGAAGGGGCAACUGGAAUUCUCGGUGUAGCGGUGAAAUGCGUAGAUAUCGAGAGGAACACCAGUGGCGAAGGCGGCAUCCUGGACCGGCAUUGACGCUGAGGCGCGAAAGCUAGGGUAGCAAACGGG
RNAcentral lists this ribosomal RNA (254 nucleotides) under uncultured bacterium. RNAcentral's name for it is "partial 16S ribosomal RNA". It matches the Rfam family "Bacterial small subunit ribosomal RNA", at positions 524 to 776 of the family's 1533-position model. The record is from RNAcentral.